RNAcentral lists this ribosomal RNA (411 nucleotides) under uncultured bacterium. RNAcentral describes it as "bacterial SSU rRNA". It matches the Rfam family "Bacterial small subunit ribosomal RNA", at positions 64 to 507 of the family's 1533-position model. The record is from RNAcentral.
GAACGAGAAAGUGGAGCAAUCCAUGAGUAAAGUGGCGACCGGGUGAGUAACACGUGACUAACCUGCCCUCGAGUGGGGAAUAACCCCGGGAAACCGGGGCUAAUACCGCAUAACAUCGCAAGAUCAAAGCCGAAAGGCGCUUGAGGAGGGGGUCGCGGCUGAUUAGCUAGUUGGUAGGGUAACGGCCUACCAAGGCCAAGAUCGGUAGCCGGCCUGAGAGGGCGCACGGCCACACUGGAACUGAAACACGGUCCAGACUCCUACGGGAGGCAGCAGUGGGGAAUUUUGCGCAAUGGGGGAAACCCUGACGCAGCAACGCCGCGUGGAGGAUGAAGUCCUUUGGGACGUAAACUCCUUUCGACCCGGACGAUACUGACGGUACGGGUGGAAGAAGCACCGGCUAACUCUGUG